GGUGCAGAGUAUCCGAGAGGCCUGCGGCGAACUCGUCGCCGGCGACUCGAAGGUGUGGUGGUUCCUUCGCGUCCCGGGCUCAGGCUCCGUGCGCUUCGCCGGUUUGCAGCGGCUCCUCUGGAGCUGGGCCUCCGCCGCCUGCUGCCGCGUGGGCUUGAAGGGUGCCUCCGCACUUGAGCCUUGAUGGAGUAGGAAGCACAAGGAAUCCAUCUCUCUACCUAGACAACAGUUGUACUGGCAGAAACCGUCUGAAGUAACUCUGGAGUCUAUUUGAAUUCUUGCAUCUUCCAGGAGAAAAUUUGGUUGGUAAAUUGAGGCAUUUUUAAAAUAUUUAAUCAUUCAUGAGUUGAGCUUCAUUCUUGAGUCAUGGAUGACAAGGCUUCUGUUGGAAAAAUCAGUGUCUCCUCAGACUCAGUAUCUACUCUUAAUAGUGAAGAUUUUGUCUUGGUUUCCAGGCAAGGAGAUGAGACACCAUCUACAAAUAAUGGAAGUGAUGACGAGAAAACAGGACUCAAGAUUAUAGGGAAUGGAAGUGAGCAGCAGCUGCAAAAAGAGCUAGCAGAUGUGCUGAUGGAUCCUCCAAUGGACGACCAGCCAGGGGACAAGGAACUUGUGGAAAGGUCGCAACUGGAUGGUGAAGGAGAUGGACCUCUUUCUAACCAACUCUCAGCUUCAUCCACCAUUAACCCUGUGCCAUUAGUAGGGCUCCAAAAACCAGAGAUGAGCUUGCCAGUGAAACCUGGACAAGGAGAUUCUGAAGGGUCAAGUCCUUUCACACCAGCUGCUGAUGAGGACAGUGUAGUUUUCAGCAAACUAACUUAUUUAGGCUGUGCCUCAGUAAAUGCUCCCAGGAGUGAAGUGGAAGCCUUAAGGAUGAUGUCCAUCUUAAGAAGCCAGUGUCAGAUUUCCCUAGAUGUAACCCUGUCAGUGCCGAAUGUAUCUGAAGGAACUGUGAGACUCUUAGAUCCUCAGACAAACACUGAAAUAGCAAACUACCCUAUCUACAAAAUCCUGUUCUGUGUCAGAGGGCAUGAUGGAACUCCUGAGAGUGACUGUUUUGCUUUCACUGAAAGUCAUUACAAUGCAGAGCUCUUCAGAAUACAUGUCUUCCGGUGCGAAAUACAAGAAGCUGUAAGCCGGAUACUUUACAGUUUUGCCACUGCCUUCCGCCGUUCCGCCAAGCAGACCCCACUUUCAGCAACUGCUGCACCCCAAACUCCUGACAGUGACAUCUUUACCUUCUCUGUGUCUUUAGAAAUAAAAGAAGAUGAUGGUAAAGGUUAUUUUAGUGCAGUUCCUAAAGAGAAGGACAGACAGUGCUUUAAACUUCGCCAAGGAACGGAUAAGAAGAUUGUCAUCUAUGUGCAACAAACAACUAAUAAAGAACUGGCCAUUGAAAGGUGUUUUGGUCUUCUCCUUAGCCCAGGAAAAGAUGUACGAAAUAGUGACAUGCACUUGUUAGAUUUGGAAUCUAUGGGCAAAAGUUCAGAUGGAAAGUCCUAUGUUAUCACUGGGAGCUGGAAUCCAAAAUCUCUGCCUUUUCAAGUUGUAAAUGAAGAAACUCCUAAAGAUAAAGUGCUGUUUAUGACCACAGCUGUUGAUUUGGUAAUAACAGAAGUACAGGAGCCUGUUCGAUUUCUCAUAGAGACAAAAGUCCGUGUUUGCUCACCUAAUGAAAGAUUAUUCUGGCCCUUCAGCAAACGUAGUACUACUGAAAAUUUCUUUUUGAAACUAAAACAGAUAAAGCAGAAGGAGAGAAAGAACAAUACUGACACUUUAUAUGAAGUUGUGUGCUUGGAAAGUGAAUCAGAGAGAGAGAGGAGGAAAACUACAGCCAGUCCCUCAAUUCGCCUGCCACAGUCUGGAUCUCAGAGUUCAAUGAUACCUUCUCCUCCAGAAGAUGAUGAAGAGGAAGAUAAUGAUGAACCUCUCUUGAGUGGAUUUGGUGAUGUAUCCAAAGAAUGUGCAGGAAAAAUUCUUGAAACAUGGGGAGAACUGCUGUCAAAAUGGCAUCUCAAUUUGAGUGUGAGACCAAAGCAGUUGUCAUCCUUAGUAAGGAGCGGUGUUCCUGAAGCUCUGCGAGGAGAAGUCUGGCAGCUGCUAGCAGGUUGUCACAACAACGACCACCUGGUAGAAAAAUACCGAAUUCUCAUUACAAAGGAGUCUCCCCAGGACAGUGCUAUCACUCGGGAUAUUAACCGGACAUUCCCAGCUCAUGACUAUUUUAAGGACACAGGAGGGGAUGGACAAGAUUCCUUAUAUAAAAUAUGCAAGGCAUAUUCUGUGUAUGAUGAAGAGAUUGGCUAUUGCCAGGGCCAGUCAUUUCUCGCUGCUGUUCUGCUUCUCCAUAUGCCUGAAGAACAGGCAUUCAGUGUUCUAGUCAAGAUCAUGUUUGACUAUGGUCUCAGGGAACUUUUCAAGCAAAACUUUGAAGAUUUACAUUGCAAAUUUUACCAGUUGGAGCGCCUCAUGCAGGAAUACAUCCCUGACCUGUACAACCACUUCCUGGAUAUAAGCCUUGAAGCGCACAUGUAUGCCUCCCAGUGGUUUCUUACACUUUUCACUGCAAAAUUCCCUCUCUACAUGGUCUUCCAUAUCAUUGACCUGCUUUUAUGUGAGGGAAUAAGUGUGAUUUUUAAUGUCGCCCUUGGAUUAUUAAAGACUUCUAAGGAUGACUUGCUGUUGACAGACUUUGAAGGUGCCUUGAAGUUCUUCAGGGUUCAGCUUCCUAAGAGAUACCGCUCAGAAGAAAAUGCAAAAAAACUAAUGGAAUUAGCUUGCAGCAUGAAGAUUAGUCAGAAGAAGUUGAAAAAAUAUGAGAAAGAGUAUCACACCAUGAGGGAACAGCAGGCCCAACAAGAAGACCCUAUCGAGCGAUUUGAGCGGGAGAACCGGCGUCUACAAGAAGCCAACAUGAGGUUGGAACAGGAAAAUGAUGACUUAGCCCAUGAGCUGGUGACCAGCAAGAUUGCGCUGCGGAAGGACCUGGAUAACGCUGAAGAGAAGGCAGAUGCCCUCAAUAAGGAGCUGCUGAUGACCAAACAGAAGUUGAUCGAUGCUGAAGAAGAGAAGAGACGGCUGGAAGACGAGUCUGCGCAGUUAAAAGAAAUGUGUCGUCGGGAACUUGACAAAGCAGAAUCUGAGAUUAGAAAAAACAGUUCUAUCAUUGGUGACUACAAGCAGAUUUGUUCUCAGUUGAGUGAAAGAUUGGAAAAGCAGCAGACAGCUAAUAAAGUGGAAAUUGAGAAAAUUCGGCAAAAAGUGGAUGACUGUGAGCGCUGCCGGGGAUUUUUCAACAAAGAAGGUCGCAUAAAGGGCAUGAGCUCAGCUAAGGAAGUUUUAGAUGAGGACACAGAUGAAGAGAAGGAGACACUCAAGAACCAGCUGAGAGAGAUGGAACUGGAGCUGGCGCAGACCAAGCUGCAGUUGGUGGAGGCCGAGUGUAAGAUCCAGGACCUGGAGCACCAUUUAGGCCUUGCCCUAAAUGAGGUACAGGCUGCCAAGAAGACAUGGUUUAACCGAACACUGAGCUCCAUAAAGACGGCAACGGGGGUUCAAGGGAAAGAGACUUGCUGAGUGAAGCGGCUGCCUCCAGACACCUUCAGAAAACACAACACCUUUUGUUGCCUUCUUUGGCCAGAUGUGUGAUUCUGUGACGUGUCCCAGGACCAGGAUGUAUCUAAGUCAGAUCCAUAGAAGCAUGUUGGUAGGUCAUUGGACCAGAGCUCGUGAUGCAGGCAGCCUCUGGGGUAAGGCUCCCCUGACUACUGACGCUAACAGGCCUGCUGGCUGAAUGACGCUCUGGACGCGCUCUGGGAAGCCAUCCUCGGUGUGAGCUCCCAGGCCUCUCUCCCUGGCGGGGGUCACGACCUCACCCAGCCCAAGGGCUGAGUUGACAUUGUCAGAGUUUUGGGGAUCCUUCAGGCUUUUGGGUUUUUUUCUAAACCUUUAAUCUUUUUUUUUUUUUAAAUAUACGUAUUAUAUGUAUUGGGGGGGGGGGGGGGGGGGUGCAGGGAUCAGUAACUCAGUUCUCUACUUCAGUGCCAGCAUAGGGUCCUCCAGGUAGACAUGGAGAAGCACUUUGUUUUCAGUAGGAGGGUUUCCUGGUUGUAGUUGCAGCCACCUAGUUUUGUUAAACUACACGAUGCACAGGUUUGGGGCUUGGCAUUAUUCACGUUUCUGAUCAAUUCUAUGCAACUCUCGUAGUUCCUGUUGUUCUUUAGUGUUAGCUGCCAAAACUUCACGGGGCUGGGCUGGGUGGCUUGACCGACGUGAGGCAGGAUUAAUCAUAACAUGGACAAAUCUUAUUUUGCUUCAUGUGUCGUGUGUGUGUGUGUGUGUGUGUGUGUGUGUGUGUGUAUAUAUAUAUAUAUAAAUAUCUUUUCCCAGUGCGCCCAACUGACAGUGUUUAAAUCCCAGACCAAGAUUGAUCUGCACAAGGUAAUUAUGUGGAUAUCUGGGCACUUGAUCUCACUCCGGGUUUGUCAGGUUUCCCUUCCUCCCUGCCCUCACAAGAGCUGGGAAAUGUUCCUUGACUAAAAGGUUCCUAGUGUUUUUGCACAACAGGUCAUACAAGCGAGAAAGACACUGCACUGUGUGUGUGUGUUUGUGUAAACGCAUGUGCGGGAUGUGCGUGCCGAGGCCCCGUCCUGCUGGCCCGUGUCCCUCCCCAGUGUGGCUGGGUGCAGACCUUGCUGUUCAGAUGGACUGCAGGUUCUCCCUUCAAAACUAUGGAAUGGAGGUUUUAGCACCUUUAAAAAAAUAAAUAAAUAAAUAACCUAGUCUUUUAAUUUAUAUAGCGGUAUGCUGACAGGCUGGCUCCGGGGGCCUCGUGUCUGCACGCAGGGCGCAGGUAGCUGUUCUGAGAGGCACUGGUCUGUGUAUAAAGAUACUUGCCUUGUUUUGUAUCUCUUUUCCCGGUGGCUGGCCUAGCGCUUGCUGAGGUCAUCUGUGAUAAGGGAGGUGACAAGCGGCAACCCCCCCCCACCACACCCUCCACCGCUUUGUGUCUUUCUUGUUCAGUUACCGAAACAGCUGUAAGCCCAUCUAAAACUAGGUGCGUGGACAUUGUGCUAGGGUAGUUCCAGUGUGUCAACUUUAUGAAUUGAAAUAUAAACCAGUAAAAUUGUAUUACUAUUCCUUUUGUUGGUUUUAUUUUAACAGCAUAUUCAUUAAAUAUUUUGGUACAAAGAGCAUCACUUUGUAGAAACCGGUUUCAUCAUUACGCGCUCCUGCCCUGUCUCCCUGCUCGCACGCACACUCCGAGAAGGGCAGCCUGCGUGCUGGCAGACACGUGUGCGCUCGGGCACCCCCCGCCCGCCUGCGCCCAGCGGCUCCAGGCUGCCGGCUUUGCGGGGUGCAGCGGGAGCAGCUGCACCUCUGUGAGGCUGAUGCCCUGCCCCGCCACGGCCAGCACGGAUGCCCCGCUGCGAAAUCAAGUGCCGCAGUGACAGGGAAGAAGAGCAGUCUCCCCAACCCUGCGGUUCUCCCCAUGUGACCUGCCCUCCGGGACCCCUUCUACACCCGGCCUCGGAUGGAAACGGGCUGAGAUGCAGGCUGCAAAGGAGGGAAGGCGGAGAUUUAUAAUCAGCCCAAUUCCACCAACAAGGAGACUCUCAGACUUGCAUGUUUUCACCGGGCAGAGCCUCUGUUUCACUAGUACCCAGAGAAGGACCUGGCACGUAAGGGCACUCAGCUGCUUGAUGAGGACGGGAAUGUACGUAGUACUAGUCAGCUAGAUCUCAUACAACCUUCUAUAGAUGCCAAAGCCACAUUCGACGUACAUACAGAUACUGUAUGGGGAAAAAACGUUGUUCCAGCAACCUUCAAAGUUAGUAAUAACAAGAAAAUUGCUACUUAGAGACAUAUAAAACACAAAAUUCAUUUUAAUCUCUAUAUAUCAAAUACGGCCUCAGCAAAGAACAUCUAACACAUAUGAAAUGUAUUUAUGGGACACACUAAAUGAAGCAAACCCUUACUAAAAUAUUUGGCCUGACCCUCACAUCUUUUAAAUGAACUCCACGAUGGUUGAGUAAGGUGGGAAAUCAAUCAUCUAGCUUCCUAAACUGGAAAAGACAGAUGAAUUGUCUGUUUAGUCUCUGCAGACUGGGUAUUUACCAUUCUGAGUCUUGCAAAGUUGGUUCUGCAAAUAGUUAGCUUAACUCAGUCAAUUACAUAUUUUUCCAUAGUUACCUUAAUAUUUUGGUUGUGGUUUUUUUUUCAUUUCUAUUGCUUUUUCUUUUUAUGGCUUCUUGCUGCUGUUGUAUUAGGGCAUACAACACAGAUCAGAGAUUUCAUUUCUCAGAGAAGUUUCUCUCCUUGAGAAAUUGGCACUUUGAUCCUCUGCUUGUGUAACAGCUACAUAUAAAUGGAUCCUACCAGCAUUGUUACCAGUCUUGCUGCUUAUGAAAUUCUAGCACUUUGGCCAAAAGGGUGCCCUGAUAUUAAAGUCUUCUUAGGUGAACUCUUCCCACCACCAAAUUCUUUUAUUUAAACAUGGCUGUGUGUGUAAUUCACAUAUAUGUAAUAUCAUAAGUUUCUACACACAUACACACAUUUAACUCGUAAAAGUGAAAUGUCUCUCUUGAAUAAAAAGUAAUUACAAGGGUAUUAAAACAAAUGCUGAAAAUAACUAUUUUACAUUUAGAUCAUAAAAAUUUUAAAGGUAAUAUCAUGACAUAAGACCUAGGAGAUCAAACACAUCCUGUAUGAUUGUCAUAUAUGCACGUUGUGUUCAUUGACUUUUAGUUAUUUUUCUCUUUAAUCAGAAAAUAAAAGAGCUUACCUUUGUUUACUGAGACCACAGCUUACAGUCACUAGAUCUCAGCCUAUUUUAUACAAGUGAUAUGGCUACGAAGGUCCGAGGAGAACGAGAAUAAAGUGAGAUAAACGUGCUGAAAACUGCUUAAAAGUAUUAACCUGAAAUACACAGAGGGUCCAACACUAGUUUUAAAAAUACAUUAACGAGGUAUUCCCAGCUCUUCAAUUAAUAACGGUGACUGACUGAUUCAUGAUUUUCAAACAUUCACCCGAAUUUUAAAAAAAGAAGGAAAGGCUAAAUAGCAGAAAAAUCUAUAAGUGGUUUGUUCCCAGGUUAACGAUUUCAGAAAGACUACAAAUGACUCGGGACUCCUUGCUGCACGCACCAUGCACUGCAUCUAGUCAGCAUGAGGUAUGUUGGGAAUCUAUUGGACCAAUUACCUUGCACAAGAGAGGGGGUGCUCCUGCAGCCAGAAGAGACCAGGGCUGCAGGCCACAUCCCUGGCUGGGUGCCAGCCCCCAUGCAAAGAAUAUGGCUUCAAGGAGGACCCCUAUCUCUGAGAAAUUAUAAUAGCGCUAACUGACGCAGUCAGGAAUGCAACUACCCAAUUUAUGUGCUACAAAAGUUUAAAAACUGUCAGGAGAUAGCACAGCUCACACACUGAGUCUAAGUUCUACAUUGGUCUGUAAACUCCCUGACAAGAGACUAUGCUAGGAGGGGUUAAGUACAGAUAUUGCUAGGUUUCCAAAGGAAAGGUUUUAAAACAGACACCGUGGCUUUGAAUAAAGUAUUGCUCUUCUUUAAAAUGCUCAGUCAUUGCUUUCCAAAAGAAGGUGUCAGAGUGGUGUAUCUGAAAGCUGGAAAGCCUCAGAGGGUCACAAUGCUCUUAAGACCAAGACAGAAAUUGCCAUUUCAAGCCAGACAACCUGAUGGUUCUAGAAGUCAGAGAAGAAAUCUUGAGGGCCCAAGUGAAUAAUAAGUGGCGCGACGCUCAGAGGCUGGCAAUAGGGGCUGUCAAUGAAAAAACCGCCUACAGUGGAGAAAAGAGCAGAGAAGCAACACUUGGUGUUAAUGUCACAGAAUUUGGUGAAGCCAAGAGCUUCAUUUAUAUUUCUCUGCUCUUUCAGCUGUAAGUGGAAUUUUCAUUACAAAAUGGAGGGGUGGGAAGGGCAGAAGGGGGGGAGGGGACACUUAAUUCAUUACAAAAUUUCAACAGUUGAACUUGCAUGGUUACCACUUCUAACAAAGGACUGACAGCUCAAUUAUUUUAAGUAAAGCAGAGAAAUGUAAAAGUUUGCAGCAACUGGGCAGGUUUACAACAUGGUUAGUAACUUCCAACAAACAACAAAAUUAAAAAAAAAAAAAAAAAGACUUGGUAGAAACCAUUUGAAAUGACUGCCAUCAUGUUGGAAAACAGCACAGCUCCCUUUUUCACCAUCAUAGAGGGGUUAAAUCAUGAAGCUGAGUCAGCUACUUCAAAAUAAUUUUCUAAAGAGAAAUCUCCAGAGAGAUUCCAACUUGGAAUGCAAAUUUGACAAUCAAUUUCAAAUAACAAUCUGGCUGCAGCUGCCAAUUAAUAGUAUUCCAAACACAGAGAGGACUAUUGUAAAUAUUGAAUUAAUAAAAACUGGACACUACCAGCCAUGCUUUUUCUUCUCAGUGAUGGCUCUGUUUCAUCCAUAGGUCAGCAAAAUGAAUCAGUGAAACAUGAAAACUCCCAGCUGCAAUGGGCCCUCAGGUUUAUGUCUAGCCACUUAAUGCACAGGAUGAGAAUGCAUCACUCAACAAGAACUGGGACAAUCGAAGAGCAAGUUUUUAUGGGGACCCUGUUGCUGCUUUAGAUUCUGAUGUAAUUGAAGAGGAAAAGAGACCUUUCCAUGAAUCCCAGAAAAAUCGCUAAUCUUCUAUCUGCAUGAAAAAAGCCAGGGAAGUGAACACAGUAUCUUACAGAGUGAAGAAGGCCACAAGAACAAGAGAGAGUGAUUGAUCGAUUAAUUUAUUCUCUUUCAAAACUUGGAAAUUAGGAAACUAAAUCACAUUCCUCCUUCCCCAUCUCUGGGUAGUGCCAUCAUUUUAAGAAGCAAUGCUCGAAUCACAGAAUAUACCUUUCUCAUGGGGAUGCCCUUGUCCAGCAGUACAAAGGGCUUACAAAAUUAGUCAGUCAACAUGAAGCAUUCUGGAGGAGACCCACAAACCUCUCACAGAUCUCCUAUUUUGAAAUUGCUAAUAUUUUGAUAAUUGGUAUUUUCCACUCAAAAUUAAGAUGGCUAUAUCACAGGAAGAAUGAUAUUCAGAAAGCAAUUUCAUUUGUGUGAGUGGCCAUGAAUUCUAAAGAUCAAAAGCAAUGCCAUUGAUGAAUAUUCUCAAGGGACUCUAGAAAUCCAUAAUCGUUCUCAAUUUGGCACAUCACAAUACUGUAGGAGAAACAGGGAUGACUGUCAAGACUCAAAGCACAGCUUUCUGUGCAGGCCUCAGCUCCCCAGAAACACAGCUCUAACCAGAGUCGUGACCAGGGGUUUAUCUUCUUAACGGCUACUGCCGGCAUUGGCAUGGCAAAUCUGGAAAGAUUAACUACUUUCUUAAUUUUGUAAUAAACAAGUUCUUGUGGCCUCACAGACUUCUGCAUACUCAAGCAUGAUUUGAAAUCUGCUCCUAUCUCUAUUCUAGUAUUUAACCUAUGGAGAAAUCACAAAGCAGCAACAGCAGGUGUUCAAGAGCACCAGAUGAUCAGAGGGAAAUUACCCCCACAUGCAACAGCUUUACAAAGGCCAAAAGACAUAUUUACCUUACAGCCAAAAUAAAGCAUUGUUUUAGUAGGUUGGCAUCACAGUAACAUUUAAAAACCAAAUCUUUUAUGUGAAAAAUGGGGGCAUCAAAUUUCACCAGCUUUGGAAGUCAGUUAUAUGGCACAUGGAAGAGAGGAGCCUUCUGAAGUGGGGGCUCAGAGGCCGCAGGGUGAAAGUAUAAUGUUAGAGGAAAGGGAGGCACAAGAGAGAAAAAUUAAAAAGACUGAGGAAAAACAUGAAUGCAGCUUAAAGCCUAGACACACCCGUGUUUUAAAGAGAAAAAUUCAGCUCUAAGUAAACCUGUACUAAAGAACGUGGGACUUACGAUGUCUGAAAGAGAGACGAAGAAUUAACAGCCUGCCCCAGCAGGCAGAUGCUCUGGCGCUCACACAAGACACACCACAAUGGGACUAGUGAGUCAAAAUGUAUCUGGAUCAACUGCCCAGACCUAAUUCACAGGAGGCAUGAGGUGGUCAGGAUACCCAGGAAGGCGGCUGCAUGGUAAAAGCAAGUGGCCAAAACCAAAGGAGCUGGAGAAUGUGAAUUUAGAACAAAUUCUGGGUGAAAACGUUUUCUCAAAUGAGUUCUCAAUUCCUUAUCACCCCACAUCCGGGGAUCUGGGGACUCUGGGGAAGUCCUGACCAAACCUGAGCAUUCCAGAGGAGACACUCAGGUCAAGGAUGAGACCCCAGACUUGGUACUUUGCCAGAGAGAAGACUCACCCAAAUGUUUGACCCUUGCAGCUUCUCCACAUCUUUCCAGUCUAUCUUAAUGGGGAAAGUGGUCAAACUGUUCAUGUUCAUUUUCUACUUAUUUUUUAGAGUUAUGAAAUCAAAUGGAGCCUCCACUUAGCGGUGUCUUAAGGACCCAUCAUUUUCAUCUGAACAAAAAUGGAAAAGCUGAUGCAUGAGGAGAGAAAGCAUAAUGAAGGGCCCUGAGGCUCGUGUGGAGGACUAACACCACAAGUAGCAGGACAUUCAAGGUCCUUCCCCACUGUACACGUGCACACCCAGCCCAGGGUCGCACCGAUACGCACUCACACGUGCACACGCACACACUCACACUCGUGCGCACACACACUCUCUUCUUCUCUCAAUGGCAAACAUCCUGCAGAUGGCUGACCUGUAACAUGUAGCGCCUGAGUUAGGGAAAAUGUCUACGAGGGCAUAUCACUGACUCCAAACCUACUGCCUCCAUUGCCACAUAAACCUCAUUCAAAAGUUAUCCAAAGGGCCACUGAGGUUCACUUCUGCAUAUGCUUUUAUUUUUUAUUUUUGGCAGGAGAGGAGACACUCCUAUGAUUUUGUAACAUGCUGCACAGACUCUGUGCGGGAACCACUUCAAAGACACUGCCAGUGACACCCUGUCACCACGCUGGGGCCCACUGACGCCACCUCUAAAGCAAAAUUUAUGGGAAAGGAUGAUGGCUACAAAUUUGAAGUGAACAUUUCCUAACCCUAACUCAAGUCACCCAGAUGGUUUCAAGCCAGAGACUUCAAUGCAGCCAUGUAACCGGCGAGCAGUUCAGCUGGAAACCGGGUAUGGCCCUUCAGUAGCCUUUGAAUGGAGUAUAAGUUGGCUGUAAGAAGAACUACUUAAAAUAUUUAAUUUCAAUAUGGUCAGAAACAGGCAAUUAGAACAAGCAGUCCUUCAAUCAGGCAAAGCAGAGAGAAGAGCAACUCCAACCAAACCGAGAACCACAAGGUUGUGGCGUUUUCAAAGGGAAUUUAAGUUGGGUCACUAGAAUGAACAGGUCUGAGAUCCUCCAAUUCACUUAAAGAAACCCUGGAUACACACUGCGCUUUAGACUGCUGUGACAGCACUGCUAAGAGGAGAGAUCAGAAAGCUGGUGUACGUACCAUAGGCAGGGGCGGCUGUGCUGUAACCAUACGGCGCUCCAUAGCCUAGUGCAAAGAAGAAGAAAGCAAUCAGUCCCGAACAAAGGGCAACCGACCGGUACCAGCCCAAUUCACAAGUACUGCCUGGCCCAGCACCUUGGGCCCUGAGGACUUCUUCCAGAUGCUGGAUGAAUGAGAACUAUACCCCGAAUGGCCAAACCCUCCAUUCCCGCUUAGCAUGACCUAUAGCGUUCUCCUGACCUACCAGAGCAUUCUUUCUCCUUGCACUUAUGACACUGUAUUAUAAUUAUCGACCCCAUGUCUGUGUCCCCUACUAGAGCGACAGACACCAAGUCUUAGACAUUUCUGUAUCACCGCAACUUGGAAGAAGGUCUGGCACAUAGUAACCACACACUAAAUAUAAUUUAUUGAACAAAUUUGUCUCCUCUCCCUAAACUUAAAAUCACUCAAGUUACCAAUUUCUUUAAAGCUGGAAAGCACAACUUUCCAGGUCUCUUGAGAAAGCAGUGACAGGACAGGCUGAAGUCUCAAGUGCAGAUCGGGUUGUGGGCUCGGGGACAAGGUCCACGUCUCCUGGUAUCUGAAUUCCUGGCCCCAGCACAGGGUCUCUCAGUAAAUGUUGGCAAAACUGACAUUAGCCUCUGGUGCCUAUGAAAAAGGCUCAUACUGUCAAUAAAAACAAGUCUGAAGAACA
Molecule: non-coding RNA, 12099 nt
Organism: Callorhinus ursinus (northern fur seal)
Lineage: Eukaryota; Metazoa; Chordata; Mammalia; Carnivora; Otariidae
Source: RefSeq, a predicted model, not a curated record